AGAGUAAUAGCUCAGUGGUAGAGUGUGUGCUUAGCAUGCAUAGGUCCUGGGUUCAAUCCCCAGUACCUCUG
RNAcentral lists this transfer RNA (71 nucleotides) under Camelus ferus (Wild Bactrian camel). It matches the Rfam family "tRNA". Rfam says of the family: Transfer RNA (tRNA) molecules are approximately 80 nucleotides in length. Their secondary structure includes four short double-helical elements and three loops (D, anti-codon, and T loops). The record is from Rfam by way of RNAcentral. Lineage: Eukaryota; Metazoa; Chordata; Mammalia; Artiodactyla; Camelidae.